Molecule: long non-coding RNA, 1244 nt
Organism: Acinonyx jubatus (cheetah)
Lineage: Eukaryota; Metazoa; Chordata; Mammalia; Carnivora; Felidae
Exons: 4
Source: RefSeq, a predicted model, not a curated record
AGGAGGAGGAGGGGGAGGAGGGGGAGGAGGAGAAAUUUCCCCAAACAUAAAAGAGCAAGAAUGCAUCUGCUCAUUCACUCACUCACUCACUCACUCCACUAAACCUUUGCUGAGUACCCGCUGGGGAGGAAGCCAGCCUAACAGAAAGGAGGUGUGUGGGGAUGGGCACUCCCAGACUGGGGUCCCGGCUGUGCUCCAUGUCAGCGGAGUGAGCAGCCUGGCCACCUGACCUCCCAGAGCCUUGGUGUCUCCAACUGUAAUGUGAAAAUGACACACUUUCAUCGCGGGGUUGCUGUGAGGACCACACAGGACAGCACAUGAGGAGGGCGCCUCGCAGCGCCUGGAGUACAGUCAGUGCUGGAUGGACACCAGUCCCCAGCCUGUCCCUGAAAUGAGAGCCGUGGCAAGGUCACCACCACUCAAGAGCAGGUUAGGGAUUACCUUUCACUGUGGCAGCCAAGUAAACUGGAAUGUAAGCAGACUGACGACAGAUGGGAGCAUUAACGAUAUGUUGUUGCACAGCUUAACGAAAACAGUGCUCCCAGGCUGGCAGUGACACUGGCCAUUAGGCCUGGUGACCACCAUGCACCUGGCCCAGAAAUGGGUUCCCACUUGGCGAGUGAUAAUUCCACCGUCUCCAUUUGACGAUGCCAGUGUAGCAGUGACUCACUUUGCACACAUCUGUGGAUUCCUGUCAGAGCUGGUUAUCUGUCUAAGGAGGGAUGUUAACAUUUAUGGCAGUGAGCAGGGACGUGUGACAGUUCAAGAAAGCAAGGUGCCAGCUACCUUUUGGAGCUGCAGGUGGUUUUUAUGAAAGCAGAAUAUUGCCACUUAUUAUUUAUUUCACUUUUUAUUUUUAAAAUGUGAUUAAUAUAGCUCGCCAAUAAAUUUGGCUGGGCACAAGUAUUUAUGAAGCAUUCUUGGCAGGCUUGGGGUGACACGGCCUAAUUGCUAGGUGGGCAGAGGCAGCCCUGUGAAGUGAGCUGCUCAGCCUGAAUGCGAACCAGCCUCAUUUUAUGGGCUUCCGAGGCAGUGGUUCUCACUGAGCUCUGGGGGAAUAAUCCCAGGAGGCUCCUAGCCGGGGAAGCAAGGUGAGAGAAGGCUGACAGAGCCUGAGAGGCCGUGGAGAGAGCUCCAGGCAGGUAGGCCAGGGUUCAAAGCCCAGCCCCCCAAGGGAGUGGGAUAAGUUGGGCAACCCCUCUAAACCUCUGUUUCCCCACAUGUAAAAGGUUUCAAAGGGUUGC